This 393-nucleotide ribosomal RNA is filed under the name uncultured bacterium. RNAcentral describes it as "partial 16S ribosomal RNA". It matches the Rfam family "Bacterial small subunit ribosomal RNA", at positions 523 to 918 of the family's 1533-position model. The record is from RNAcentral.
AUACGGAGGAUGCGAGCGUUAUCCGGAUUUAUUGGGCUUAAAGGGAGCGUAGGUGGGAUAUUAAGUCAGCUGUGAAAGUUUGGGGCUCAACCUUAAAAUUGCAGUUGAUACUGGUUUCCUUGAGUACGGUACAGGUGGGCGGAAUUUGUGGUGUAGCGGUGAAAUGCUUAGAUAUCACGAAGAACUCCGAUCGCGAAGGCAGCUCACCGGGCCGGAACUGACACUGAUGCUCGAAAGUGCGGGUAUCAAACAGGAUUAGAUACCCUGGUAGUCCGCACAGUAAACGAUGAAUACUCGCUGUUUGCGAUACACUGUAAGCGGCCAAGCGAAAGCGUUAAGUAUUCCACCUGGGGAGUACGCCGGCAACGGUGAAACUCAAAUGAAUUGACGGGG